GAGUUUGAUCGUGGCUCAGGAUGAACGCUGGACGGCGUGCCUAAUACAUGCAAGUCGGAGCGAACAGACGAGGAGCUUGCUCCUCUGACGUUAGCGGCGGACGGGUGAGUAACACGUGGAUAACCUACCUAUAAGACUGGGAUAACUUCGGGAAACCGGAGCUAAUACCGAAUAAUAUAUUGAACCGCAUGGUUCAAUAGUGAAAAACGGUUUUGCUGUCACUUAUAGAUGGAUCCGCGCCGCAUUAGCUAGUUGGUAGGGUAACGGCUUACCAAGGCGACGAUGCGUAGCCGACCUGAGAGGGUGAUCGGCCACACUGGAACUGAGACACGGUCCAGACUCCUACGGGAGGCAGCAGUAGGGAAUCUUCCGCAAUGGGCGAAAGCCUGACGGAGCAACGCCGCGUGAGUGAUGAAGGUCUUCGGAUCGUAAAACUCUGUUAUUAGGGAAGACAAAUGUGUAAGUAACUAUGCACGUCUUGACGGUACCUAAUCAGAAAG
RNAcentral lists this ribosomal RNA (500 nucleotides) under uncultured microorganism. RNAcentral describes it as "bacterial SSU rRNA". It matches the Rfam family "Bacterial small subunit ribosomal RNA", at positions 9 to 490 of the family's 1533-position model. The record is from RNAcentral.